GAUGAACGCUGGCGGCGUGCCUAAUACAUGCAAGUCGAGCGAACGGACGAGAAGCUUGCUUCUCUGAUGUUAGCGGCGGACGGGUGAGUAACACGUGGAUAAACUACCUAUAAGACUGGGAUAACUUCGGGAAACCGGAGCUAAUACCGGAUAAUAUUUUGAACCGCAUGGUUCAAAAGUGAAAGACGGUCUUGUUGUCACUUAUAGAUGGAUCCGCGCUGCAUUAGCUAGUUGGUAAGGUAACGGCUUACCAAGGCAACGAUGCAUAGCCGACCUGAGAGGGUGAUCGGCCACACUGGAACUGAGACACGGUCCAGACUCCUACGGGAGGCAGCAGUAGGGAAUCUUCCGCAAUGGGCGAAAGCCUGACGGAGCAACGCCGCGUGAGUGAUGAAGGUCUUCGGAUCGUAAAACUCUGUUAUUAGGGAAGAACAUAUGUGUAAGUAACUGUGCACAUCUUGACGGUACCUAAUCAGAAAGCCACGGCUAACUACGUG
This 497-nucleotide ribosomal RNA is filed under the name uncultured bacterium. RNAcentral describes it as "partial 16S ribosomal RNA". It matches the Rfam family "Bacterial small subunit ribosomal RNA", at positions 28 to 507 of the family's 1533-position model. The record is from RNAcentral.